This 480-nucleotide long non-coding RNA is filed under the name Nicotiana benthamiana. Its description in RNAcentral is "long non-coding RNA (NBEN_LNC017095)". Lineage: Eukaryota; Viridiplantae; Streptophyta; Magnoliopsida; Solanales; Solanaceae. The record is from RNAcentral.
CGCAUUCACGCACAAAGAGCUUUGGUCUCGGCAACUCCUCUGGAAGCUCCAAAGUUCCAAUAACUUUAUCAGACGAAAAAGCUUUUGAAGAAGUUUUUUGUGAUUUUAGGAUGGACAGAUCUAUGGAGAAGUUUCAGGUAGAUCAGGUAUGGGCUCUUUAUGGUCAAAAUAGUACACUGCCAAAGACUUUUGCUCAGAUUAAGAAGAUUGUUCCUUCCCCAUUCAAAUUGCAUGUAGUCCUUCUUGAAUCUAGUGCAGGGCGUAAAAUUGCUCCUCAGACUGUUUGCGGAACAUUCAAAGUGCAGAACGAAAAAUGCCAAGUCUUUGAUCCCAGUAGCUUCUCGCACGUGGUGAAAACAGUCCGCAGGGCGUAAAACUGCUCCUCAGACUGUUUGUGGAACAUUCAAAGUGCAGAACGAAAAAUGCCAAGUCUUUGAUCCCAGUAGCUUCUCGCACGUGGUGAAAACAGUCUCUAAUAAU